This 506-nucleotide ribosomal RNA is filed under the name uncultured bacterium. RNAcentral's name for it is "partial 16S ribosomal RNA". It matches the Rfam family "Bacterial small subunit ribosomal RNA", at positions 29 to 523 of the family's 1533-position model. The record is from RNAcentral.
AGUGAACGCUGGCGGUAGGCCUAACACAUGCAAGUCGAACGGCAGCACAGAGGAGCUUGCUCCUUGGGUGGCGAGUGGCGGACGGGUGAGGAAUACAUCGGAAUCUACUCUGUCGUGGGGGAUAACGUAGGAAAACUUACGCUAAUACCGCAUACGACCUACGGGUGAAAGCAGGGGAUCUUCGGACCUUGCGCGAUUGAAUGAGCCGAUGUCGGAUUAGCUAGUUGGCGGGGUAAAGGCCCACCAAGGCGACGAUCCGUAGCUGGUCUGAGAGGGUGAUCAGCAACACUGCAACUGAGACACGGUCCAGACUCCUACGGGAGGCAGCAGUGGUGAAUAUUGGACAAUGGGCGCAAGCCUGAUCCAGCCAUACCGCGUGGGUGAAGAAGGCCUUCGAGUUGUAAAGCCCUUUUGUUGGGAAAGAAAUCCAUCUGGUUAAUACCCGGGUGGGAUGACGGUACCCAAAGAAUAAGCACCGGCUAACUUCUUGCCAGCCGCCGCGGUAA